Non-coding RNA from Paramuricea clavata, 264 nucleotides. The record is from the annotation of a GenBank genome assembly. Lineage: Eukaryota; Metazoa; Cnidaria; Anthozoa; Malacalcyonacea; Plexauridae.
UUUUUUUGGUCAGUUUCAGAAUGGUUUAGAGACCAAUUUGGUUCUUCUCCAAUGACGUUUUUUGGCGUUGUAUCUUAUAGUGUUUCCUGUCCUCAUUCGCACCCAUUGUGGGAUCGGCCGGUUUUGCUUCAUCUUUUUGGCCAGUUUUCUUUUGAUCUGGAAAGACUUUUGAUCUGGAACAAGUAUCCCAAAAUUCCGCAUUUCCGCAAUGCGAUUUUCCGCUGGUGUGCAUCCGCGAACCGCGUUAAAAAGUAGGCAUCAAAU